RNAcentral lists this long non-coding RNA (1784 nucleotides) under Nicotiana tabacum (common tobacco). Its description in RNAcentral is "long non-coding RNA (NTAB_LNC009836)". The record is from RNAcentral. Lineage: Eukaryota; Viridiplantae; Streptophyta; Magnoliopsida; Solanales; Solanaceae.
CUGAACUGGUGCUACUGGAGCAUCCAUAGCUGGAGCCUGAUCCUGAGCUGGGGCAGCUCGUGGAUCUACAGGUGCUGUUGUCGCUGCUCUGCCUCUGCCACGACCAUGACCGCAUCCACGGCCUCUUGUGGCCACAACUGCUGGAACUAGUUGUCGUCCACCUUGUCCGGUAGUGCGUGUCCUCACCAUCUAUGAGAGAAUAAAAUAGUAGAAGUUUAGUGCUCGUAUCAACAAGUUCGCAUGACCAGAAUUUCAAGAAUAUGAAGCUUUUCCGAAAGGUUCUGCUGCCUCUCAAGGAUAAAUACAAAUGUCUCCGUACCGAUUUGUGAGACUCUACUAAUCCUGCUCAUGACUCAUGAGACCUAUGCAACCUAGGCUCUGAUACCAACUUAUCACAACCCUAACCCCGAACCCGGUCGUGAUGGUGCCUCUCGUGAAGACAAGGCCAGCCAAUUAUACCCAGUUCACUUUUUAAAGAAGUUAUUCAACAUAAAAGUAGUCUAAACAUGAGUUAAUAAUACUAAACAACGGAAGAUAUCGAUAACAAUGCGGAAAUGCCACACGACACAGCCCUGACCGGGGUGUCACAAUUCAUGAGGGUCUAUAGGAAAAUAAUACAAGUCUGCUAAAUCCAUAAACUAGUACAAAUGUUUGAAGGAGAAAUAAAAAUGAUAAAAGAGUAGAGACACAGGGCUGCGAAUGUCAACAACUACCUCGUAGUCUACGAACGCUCGCCUGAUACUGGAGGAAAUUAGCACUCAGGAGCAGAACCAGCUACGCCUGAAUCUGCACACAGGGUGCAGGGAGUAAAGUGAGUAGUCCAACUUAGUGAGUAACAAAUGUAAAUAUCGACUGAAAGUAAGAAAACACGUAAGGCACAAGGCAUUCUAUAAUGAAGCAGUAAAAUCAUUUGAAAACAGUAAAAUAGUGAAAAGUCAAGUAAAAUCCUCUUUCAACAAGUAAAUAAAUAAUUGACAAAAAGUUAAGAUAAAGUUAACAAAUAGAAGUUCGCCCCUCGGGCAUAAUAUCAACAAAUCCGCCCCUCAAGCAACAUCUGUGAACUAUGCCAGCCCUUCGGGCUCAAUCUCAGAACAAUACUAGCCCCUCGGGCUCAAUCUCACAUCACAAUGGGUACCCUCGCUCACUGGGGGUGUACAAUCUCCUGGAGGGGCCCCUUACGAUCUAAGCGUAAUAACAAACCAUCUCGUGGCAUCAAAACUAGGCCCUCGGCCUCAUAUCAAUCAAGCCACCUCGUGGCGUACAUAUCUUAAGCCCUCAACCUCAAAUCAGUAUUAGUGUUUUCUCACAACAUAGGCCCUCAACCUUACUCAGUCAAAAAUACUCACAAUCCCCUCAAGCAAUAGUAAAACAGUAUUUCUCAGCCCAAAACAUCAUUUAAAAUAUCAUUUAAGUCUUAAAACUGAGUAAACAUGACUGAGUAGUAAAUACAGUUGAAAAUAACAUGACUGAGUUCAAGCAAUGAAUCAAAACAGUGAGAAAAUAGUAAUAAAAAUCCGCGAAGGGUUCAAAUAGUUGGCACGAAGCCUAAAUAUGGAAAUCAACCCAAAUCAUAAUGACAACAAAUAAGUUUCAGUCAAAUAUGCGGUAAAAUCAUCAACCGGGAUGGACCAAGUCACAAUCCCCAAUAGUGCACGACCCCACGCCCGUCAUCCAGCGUGUGUCUCACCUGAAUAUAGCACUACGAUGUGCAAUCCGGGGUUUCAAACCCUCAGAGUAUCAUUUACAAUCAUUACUCACCUCGAAACGGCUAAAUCUCUAGCUUG